This 492-nucleotide long non-coding RNA is filed under the name Arabidopsis thaliana (thale cress). RNAcentral describes it as "long non-coding RNA (ATHA_LNC000352)". Lineage: Eukaryota; Viridiplantae; Streptophyta; Magnoliopsida; Brassicales; Brassicaceae. The record is from RNAcentral.
UAAAAGGAGGAGGUGGAGGUGGUGGAGGAGCUGUUUUAACAGGUGGAGAUGGAGCACUGGAAAUACCAUGUAAAGGAAGGAUCUUGACUGAUGGUGAAGGUGCAAUACUAGUGUAAGGUAGAGGGGGAGGAGGGAGGAUGUAAUCAUUUGCUUUUGUUGUAUUUAAUGGGCUAAAAGGAGGAGGUGGUGGUGGUGGUGGUGGGGAAGAAGAUGUAGAGCACGCCUCAUGAGUUUCAAAAGUCGAAGCAUACAGAGACUUCCAAGGUGGUGGAGGUGGAGGUGGAGGCAACAAAGUUUCACUGUUUCGCCUCACAGAUGCAAACGGAGGUGGUGGAGGAGGUGGAGGUGGAGGCAACAAAGUUUCACUGUUUCGCCUCACAGAUGCAAACGGAGGUGGUGGAGGAGGAGGCGGCGGCGAUGGUAGCUGAGAUGUUUGCAAGUCACUGCUCUUUUGACCUACUGAAUAGUAUGCAGGCGGAGGUGGUGGUGGAG